UUAAUUGAAGAGUUUGAUCAUGGCUCAGAUUGAACGCUGGCGGCAGGCUUAACACAUGCAAGUCGAGCGGUAGCACAGGGGAGCUUGCUCCCUGGGUGACGAGCGGCGGACGGGUGAGUAAUGUCUGGGAAACUGCCUGAUGGAGGGGGAUAA
RNAcentral lists this ribosomal RNA (153 nucleotides) under Serratia marcescens. Its description in RNAcentral is "partial 16S ribosomal RNA". It matches the Rfam family "Bacterial small subunit ribosomal RNA", at positions 1 to 146 of the family's 1533-position model. The record is from RNAcentral. Lineage: Bacteria; Pseudomonadati; Pseudomonadota; Gammaproteobacteria; Enterobacterales; Yersiniaceae.